AUUCUUCGGAUGAAGUAUGAUAUGACUGAGUGGCGGACGGGUGAGUAACGCGUGAGUAACCUGCCCUUCAGAGGGGGAUAGCGUUUGGAAACGAACGGUAAUACCGCAUAAUGUAUUUUGACCGCAUGAUCGAAAUACCAAAGAUUUAUCGCUGAAGGAUGGACUCGCGUCUGAUUAGGUAGUUGGUGGGGUAACGGCCUACCAAGCCGACGAUCAGUAGCCGGACUGAGAGGUUGAUCGGCCACAUUGGAACUGAGACACGGUCCAAACUCC
Molecule: ribosomal RNA, 273 nt
Filed under: uncultured bacterium
Lineage: Bacteria
Description: partial 16S ribosomal RNA
Rfam family: Bacterial small subunit ribosomal RNA
Source: RNAcentral